Molecule: long non-coding RNA, 722 nt
Organism: Spinacia oleracea (spinach)
Lineage: Eukaryota; Viridiplantae; Streptophyta; Magnoliopsida; Caryophyllales; Amaranthaceae
Exons: 2
Source: RefSeq, a predicted model, not a curated record
ACCUACAUUUGACCCGUUCCACUACCGACCCGCUCUGACUCGCACCGACCCUCCCAAUAACCAUGCCUAAUCUUAAGUAGCGGUCUAUCAUUUUCCAAUCGUCCAACGAUUCCAGACGUUCCGUACGUUGACGGAACUAUAGAGGGUUCCAAAAUUCCAAUGAUCACGUGACUCAGCAUUUUUUUUAAUUUUUUUUUUUUAAAAAAAAAAUUCGUCCAACAUGUGGGAAAGGUCUCAUUCACGCAAUCCGACCUAUUUCGCGAAAAGCUCUUGCUCUCCUCCCGUCUUACCACAGCGCCGCCCAACCCUCUGCCCUCACCGACAGGCGACAACCCCGGCCAGCCGGACCACAGGUCCCCCACGGCCCCACCGUCACCGUGCCGCAUGCCCACUACGAGAAGCUGAAAGUAUGACACUAAAUUAACUCCAACUAUGAAGGUAUUGGAGGCUGGAUCGAUGUGCUAAUUUCUUCUUGCGAGGUUGUUGAAAAAUCCAGUGUUACAUUGACAUAAUGUGCAUUCUUUCCUUUUUUCUGUUUUCUGAAAUCGAUUUUAGUGAUCAUUGACAAAAAUGCUUUGCAGUUUUAAGUUCAAUUCUUGCUAGACGAUUGAUUAUCUAGCACUCGAAUUCGACUGCUAUACUGUUGGUUAAAUCUGAUCAGUUGGUGUAAGACACAUUUCUUAUGCUUCUUUUGGCAAGAAUGUACUGGAAAGUUGAGCUAA